Molecule: long non-coding RNA, 1291 nt
Organism: Zingiber officinale
Lineage: Eukaryota; Viridiplantae; Streptophyta; Magnoliopsida; Zingiberales; Zingiberaceae
Exons: 3
Source: RefSeq, a predicted model, not a curated record
GCCUUCUCUUCCUCAUCCCUCUUCUCCUUUAGGCGUUGCUGCAAGGUCCCCCAACGUCUACUUCGACUCACCGGCGCAGUCGCCCCCUUCAUGCGGCGAGAUUCAUGUGAUCACCGGCCCGAUGUUCGCCGGAAAGACAACAGCUUUGCUCCGUCGAGUUCUAGCCGAGAAGAGUAAUGGAAGAAUGCGGCCUUAAUUAAAUCUGAAAAAGAUAGGAGAUAUGGUUGGAUGCAAUUGUAACUCAUGAUGGUACACAAAUGCCGUGCAUGGCUAUUCCAGUGCUUUCUGUGUUCCGAGAAAGACUAGGAGCAGAAGCCUAUGAUAAGGUUGAUGUGAUAGGGAUUGAUGAAGCCCAAUUCUUUGAGGAUUUUUAUGAUUUUUGUCGGAACGCUGCUGACCGUGAUAGGAAAACAGUUAUUGUCUUUGACUUGGAUGGUGACUACCUUGGGUAAAUGAUAUAAAUCCCUGCCAAUUAGACUGUCUUUUUAGAGAACCACAUUUAAGAAGCAUCAUCGAGUGAAGUUCAUAGUUUAGAUAUUAUGAUUCUGAGCUGGUUGGUCUCUCCGCAACAUGUUACAGGGUAUACUUGCACUCAGCAUCUCAUCUAGUUAAGUUUUGUUAUAUCAUCAAACCAUGUCUUUGACAGACGGAGAUUUGGUUCAUUGCUUGAUAUCAUUCCGCUAGCUGAUUCAGUCACCAAGCUUACAACAAGGUGUGAGUUGUGCGGUCAGCGUGCAUUCUUUACUCGAAGGAAAACAAGUGAAAAACAAACUGAACUUAUAGGCGGCGCUGAUAUUUACAUGCCAGUCUAUAGACAAUUCUAUUGCAAAAAGGUCACGGGUUCGAAUCCUGAAAACAACCUCUUGUAAAAAACAGGGUAAGAUUACGUACAAUGGAUCUUUCCCUAAGACCUCGCAUGGUGGGAGCUUCGUGCACCGGACUACUCUUUAGUCUGUAGACAACACUAUGCAGAGGAACUCACCGUAAAAGAAGCCACACGAACUGUGUUGGACAUUGAACACCACUUAGUUGCAGUUUAAAUCUAGCUGAUUCGGUAAUUUUUUGUACCUCGACAUCAUGGAAACCACGAUGAUUGGGUUAGCCGUCUGAUGCCCUCUUGUUUUUUUUGGCUCAAAAAAUAACCUUAAGUUUGGUAUUUGAACUUUGAAGUAUGUAAGCUUACGAAAUUGUAUGCCCUAUGGGCAUGUUAUUUUUUCCCCCUUGGGAUAUGUGUAAUUUUGUAAACAAAGGUGUUCUUGGUUAAAAUGGAUACUGUUUUCGAAAGACAGAA